AACGAACGCUGGCGGCGUGCCUAACACAUGCAAGUCGUGCGAGAAAGUUCCUUCGGGAGCGAGUAAAGCGGCGCACGGGUGAGUAACACGUAGGUAACCUGCCCCCCAGUCUGGAACAACUAGAGGAAACUCUAGCUAAUGCCGGAUGAGACCACGAUCCCUUCGGGGGUUGCGGCCAAAGAUGGCCUCUACUUGUAAGCUAUCGCUGAGGGAUGGGCCUGCGGGCCAUUAGCUUGUUGGUGAGGUAACGGCUCACCAAGGCUGUGAUGGCUAGCUGGUCUGAGAGGAUGACCAGCCACACUGGGACUGAGACACGGCCCAGACUCCUACGGGAGGCAGCAGUGGGAAUAUUGCGCAAUGGGCGAAAGCCUGACGCAGCGACGCCGCGUGGGUGAUGAAGGUCUUCGGGUCGUAAAGCCCUGUCGCAGGGGAAGAAUAAGCAUCGGUAUAAUACGCCGGUGCCCUGACGGUACCCUGCAAGAAAGCACCGGCUAACUCCGUG
This 502-nucleotide ribosomal RNA is filed under the name uncultured bacterium. RNAcentral describes it as "bacterial SSU rRNA". It matches the Rfam family "Bacterial small subunit ribosomal RNA", at positions 29 to 507 of the family's 1533-position model. The record is from RNAcentral.